This 107-nucleotide small nuclear RNA is filed under the name Meriones unguiculatus (Mongolian gerbil). Lineage: Eukaryota; Metazoa; Chordata; Mammalia; Rodentia; Muridae. The record is from RNAcentral.
GUGCUCGCUUCGGCAGCACAUAUACUAAAAUUGGAGUGAUACAGAGAAGAUUAUCAUGGCGCCUGCACAAGGAUAACAUGCAAAUUCAUGAAUCAUUCCAUAUUUUU